GAUGAAGAACGUAGUGAAAUGCGAUAAGUAGUGUGAAUUGCAGAAUUCAGUGAAUCAUCGAAUCUUUGAACGCACAUUGCGCCCCUUGGUAUUCCAUGGGGCAUGCCUGUUCGAGCGUCAUUUGUACCUUCAAGCCUUGCUUGGUGUUGGGUGUUUGUCUCGCCUCUGCGCGCAGACUCGCCUCAAAACAAUUGGCAGCCGGCGUAUUGAUUUCGGAGCGCAGUACAUCUCGCGCUUUGCACUCAGAACGACGACGUCCAAAAGUACAUUUUUACACUCUUGACCUCGGAUCAGGUAGGGAUACCCGCUGAACUUAAGAAUAUCAAUAAGCGGAGGA
This 337-nucleotide unclassified non-coding RNA is filed under the name soil metagenome. Its description in RNAcentral is "partial contains 5.8S ribosomal RNA, internal transcribed spacer 2, and large subunit ribosomal RNA". The stretch from base 1 to 120 matches the Rfam family "5.8S ribosomal RNA", at positions 35 to 154 of the family's 154-position model. The record is from RNAcentral.